RNAcentral lists this ribosomal RNA (253 nucleotides) under uncultured bacterium. RNAcentral describes it as "partial 16S ribosomal RNA". It matches the Rfam family "Bacterial small subunit ribosomal RNA", at positions 524 to 776 of the family's 1533-position model. The record is from RNAcentral.
UACGCAGGGCGCAAGCGUUGUUCGGAAUCACUGGGCGUAAAGCGCGUGUAGGCGGCCGGGCAAGUCGGAUGUGAAAUUCCGAGGCUCACCCUCGGAACUGCAUUCGAACCUGCUCGGCUCGAGUCCCGGAGAGGAUGGCGGAAUUCCCGGUGUAGGGGUGAAAUCCGUAGAUAUCGGGAGGAACACCAGUGGCGAAGGCGGCCAUCUGGACGGUGACUGACGCUGAGACGCGAAAGCGUGGGGAGCAAACAGG